UGGGUUCCAGAUGGUUGGAACGGUAUGAGCCUAUCUAUGUCCCAAUUAUGUGGUGCUUUCCGCCCCUGUACCUGCGCCCUCUGUUCCAGAAGGCUCUUUAGGCCCAAGGCCUGGAGCGCUGCGUCUGAUUCUGCGGCUGUGGUAAGUCGUAAGCUCUUCUCUCCUUGCGAUAUGAACAGGCUCCUGGGGAAGCCCCAAUGGUAUGGGAUUGAGUGGGUGCGUAGUGUCGAGGUCAGAGGUUUAAACUGGCUUCUCCAUAACAGUGUAGGUCUGGA
Molecule: non-coding RNA, 275 nt
Organism: Pelobates cultripes (western spadefoot toad)
Lineage: Eukaryota; Metazoa; Chordata; Amphibia; Anura; Pelobatidae
Source: the annotation of a GenBank genome assembly